This 800-nucleotide ribosomal RNA is filed under the name uncultured marine bacterium. Its description in RNAcentral is "bacterial SSU rRNA". It matches the Rfam family "Bacterial small subunit ribosomal RNA", at positions 60 to 908 of the family's 1533-position model. The record is from RNAcentral.
AGUCGAACGAAGUAGCAAUACUUAGUGGCAGACGGGUGAGUAACAUGUAGGUAUCUACCCUUUGGCCUGGAAUAACACGAGGAAACUUGUGCUAAUACCGGAUAAGUCUUUACGGAGAAAGCUUUAUGCACCAUUGGAUGAGCCUGCACUUGAUUAGUUUGUUGGUGGGGUAAUGGCCUACCAAGACUGUGAUCAAUAGCUGAUUUGAGAGGAUGAUCAGCCACAUUGGGACUGAGACACGGCCCAAACUCCUACGGGAGGCAGCAAUGGGGAAUCUUGCACAAUGGAGGAAACUCUGAUGCAGCGAUGCCGCGUGAGUGAAGAAGGCCCUUGGGUUGUAAAGCUCUUUCGUCGGGGAAGAAAAUGACUGUACCCGAAUAAGAAGGUCCGGCUAACUUCGUGCCAGCAGCCGCGGUAAUACGAAGGGACCUAGCGUAGUUCGGAAUUACUGGGCUUAAAGAGUUCGUAGGUGGUUGAAAAAGUUGGUGGUGAAAUCCCAGAGCUUAACUCUGGAACUGCCAUCAAAACUUUUCAGCUAGAGUAUGAUGGAGGAAAGCAGAAUUUCUAGUGUAGAGGUGAAAUUCGUAGAUAUUAGAAAGAAUACCAAUUGCGAAGGCAGCUUUCCGGAUCAUUACUGACACUGAGGAACGAAAGCAUGGGUAGCGAAGAGGAUUAGAUACCCUCGUAGUCCAUGCCGUAAACGAUGUGUGUUAGACGUUGGAAAUCUAUUUUCAGUGUCGCAGCAAAAGCGAUAAACACACCGCCUGGGGAGUACGACCGCAAGGUUAAAACUCAAAUGA